GUAGUGGCUCAGUGGUAGAGCACUUGCCUGGAGUGUGUGAGGCCCUGGGUUCAAACCUCAUCACCACA
Molecule: transfer RNA, 68 nt
Filed under: Marmota monax (woodchuck)
Lineage: Eukaryota; Metazoa; Chordata; Mammalia; Rodentia; Sciuridae
Description: tRNA.Ser
Source: RNAcentral